GGAUAAUAAAAAUAUAAACUUAAAAAAAGUUAUAAACUGUAAGACCUAUUAAUGGAAUGACAGGUUUUAGCCUUGAGCAUUUAUAAGCUUAUGAAUUAAGGACAGAUGAAUAAUGGGUUUUUCUGAUCUCAAUGGACUUGGAGACAACUUUGAAACAAAUCAAAGACUUAUAUAAGGAAGAAAAGAGAGAGAGCUUUACAAUUCAACACAUGUAGAAAAAACAAAUACGGGAAAAUAAAUACUUUGUUACAGUUAAUAAAUAAAUGAUGUCCACUACUUUUCAAGAAUAGAUGAUUACUGAUAAAAUAAUAUGUCCUAGUUUACAAUACAAUUCCUUAGGAUGGGAAAUUCUAUAAGGUCGUGGAGGAUGUUCUGCAAUUUGAUGAAAUGUUGCUUUUAGCAGGGUCGUUACUACAUUGGCAUUCUCUUGAAGACAUUAAUGGACCAAAAACACAGACCAUCCUUUUUGCUGCAUCUCUCCAAAUCCAUCUAUUUCAGAUCUUAUUUUUUUCCAAAACCCAGAAAUUGACUCUGUAUUUUUAUCUUGUUCUCUCUCCUCAUCUCAGGCCAUCUGUAUAUUUUAGACUUCACUUUUCC
RNAcentral lists this long non-coding RNA (597 nucleotides) under Androctonus crassicauda. The record is from RNAcentral. Lineage: Eukaryota; Metazoa; Arthropoda; Arachnida; Scorpiones; Buthidae.